RNAcentral lists this ribosomal RNA (253 nucleotides) under uncultured Acidobacteriota bacterium. Its description in RNAcentral is "uncultured Acidobacteria bacterium partial 16S ribosomal RNA". It matches the Rfam family "Bacterial small subunit ribosomal RNA", at positions 524 to 776 of the family's 1533-position model. Lineage: Bacteria; Pseudomonadati; Acidobacteriota. The record is from RNAcentral.
UACGUAGGGGGCCAGCGUUGCUCGGAAUUACUGGGCGUAAAGGGUUCGUAGGCGGUGCGGCAAGUCGGGAGUGAAAUCUCUGGGCUCAACUCAGAGGCUGCUUCCGAAACUGCCGUGCUUGAGUGCGGGAGAGGCGAGUGGAAUUACAGGUGUAGCGGUGAAAUGCGUAGAUAUCUGUAGGAACACCCGUGGCGAAGGCGGCUCGCUGGACCGCAACUGACGCUGAGGAACGAAAGCUAGGGGAGCAAACAGG